CUGCAGUGCUGCUCCGCUGCUCGCCUCAAUCAUUCAGCGCCUGCCGCCUCCGCCUAGCAAGGGAAGACUCAGCUUAUCAAUCAUUUUCUAAUCAACAAGAGUUGGUAUAUUGUUAAUUUGCCUGGAUAUGGGUGAGUCUCUGUAAUUUUGGUUUUAAUUUGGGCAAUUUCUGUAAUUCUUGAGUCUAUUUCAUGCUGGGAAUAUUGUAUACUUGUAUUGUGAAUCAAUUGUUAUUCGUGUUUAUUCCUGAUCAUAUGCUUGAAUCAUAUUGAAGUGCCAAAAAAGGAUUGCUUUUACGCCUUGAGGCAUUGCUUCAAAAUUAUUGA
This is a long non-coding RNA of Chenopodium quinoa (quinoa), 326 nucleotides long. RefSeq lists it as uncharacterized. The record is from RefSeq and is a predicted model, not a curated record. The transcript has 2 exons. Lineage: Eukaryota; Viridiplantae; Streptophyta; Magnoliopsida; Caryophyllales; Amaranthaceae.